This 490-nucleotide ribosomal RNA is filed under the name uncultured bacterium. RNAcentral describes it as "bacterial SSU rRNA". It matches the Rfam family "Bacterial small subunit ribosomal RNA", at positions 10 to 518 of the family's 1533-position model. The record is from RNAcentral.
AGUUUGAUUAUGGCUCAGGACGAACGCUGGCGGUGUGCCUCAUACAUGCAAGUCGAACGAGAAACUGGAGCUUGCUCCAGUGGAAAGUGGCGGACGGGUGAGUAAUGUGUAGAAAAUCUGCCCUAGAGAGGGGGACAACAGAGGGAAACUUCUGCUAAUACCCCAUAUGAGCUUGGUUGAAAUACCAAUCUUGAAAACUCCGGUGCUCUAGGAUGAGUCUGCAUCUGAUUAGCUAGUUGGUGGUGUAAUGGACUACCAAGGCGACGAUCAGUAGCUGGUUUGAGAGGAUGAUCAGCCACAAUGGGACUGAGACACGGCCCAUACUCCUACGGGAGGCAGCAGUAGGGAAUUUUGCGCAAUGGGGGAAACCCUGACGCCAGCAACACCGCGCGAACGUUAAGCCCUUCGGGGUAUAAAGUUCUGUCACUGGGGAAGAAUAAAUGACUGUACCCAGAGAGGAAGCACCGGCUAACUCCGUGCCAGCAGCUGC